UUUUUUUUCUCCUUUCCUUUUUAUUUUUUCCCCAAACAGGAACAAUUUAUUUCCACUUUUGGGCAGGUUUCUUGGCCAAGGGUGAGCUCUCCCUGUUGCCUCUUCCCGGUGUCCCCCAGGUGACCUUACAAAGUGCCUCAGGGACCCAACUUUAGUGAAUAGAAAAAUCAAAAUAUGCAAAUGGAGCUGGGAUUAUUACAUAUAUAAUCACGAAAACAUUUUUCCUGCACUAUUGCCUGUGCCCAGCUUCCUGCCCUACUGCUCUGAGUGCCUCUGUGCUGUCUAUAGCUGUUAAGCUGAAGCACCCGAGGAUGGCUCUGAAGCAGGAAGAGAGUUUUCAAUCUGCAGGAUGGUUUUCCAGACACUUUCUUUCUCAUUCUCCUCAAGAUAGUUGCCGUUCCUCCGGAUUUCACUGUUAUUAUUUGGAUGUCUCUGCUUCAGAGGGAAGGGGGGAUGAAUGGCUCGUUCAGCCUCUUCAGUCCACUCUAGUUCUAUUUUAGUUUGAGCAGCCUGUGCUACUUUGAGAGACGGGAGCAGUUCAUGCCAAUAACUCAAUCUUUCUGCAAAGUUCAGCAUCUCAGGCUGAAAAAAAACCCCACCCAAACCUAAAAGUAAAACUACACAAUGAAGGCAGCUGAGUCUUGCAGUCAGGUCCAGGUGAUUGAAAGUUUACAUCCUGAGUCACAGAAUCCUAGAAUGGUUUGGGUUGGAAGACCCAAAAGACCACCUAGUUCCAGCCCCUGCUGUGGGCAAGGACACCUUCCGCUAGAUCAGGUUGCUCCAAACCCCAUCCUUGCCCUAAUUUGGCUUUUCCUGGCUUUCUCCCUUCAAAGUAGAAGUGAUGAAAUUCAUUUGGGCAUUUUAGUGAAUGAAAGGAUGCAUAAUGAGUCAGGAAAUCCUACUCACCUUAGCAGUUAAACAGAUGUUUGAAGUCUGAGGCCUGAAGUCUCUGUACAGCCAGUGAGGAAAAGUGUGGGAUGCUGAUGACAGAUGUGGAGGAACACUUAUCUGAAAACAUGUAUUUUUAUUCUGAUAUAAACCUCAGUUUUGUUCCUUUCGUUUUUAAUGCUAUGUGCAGUAUUUUAAGGCAUAUGUAACCAGUAAAACCCCAAACUCUAUCAUUAAAAACCAAAACAAUAUUUUCCAAUUUAAAUCUGUAAAGGAAAAAAAAAACCAACUUAGCUUUUGAGAUUAAUUCAGUUUUCACAAUUUUUAUAUGGUUUUGCAAAGUAUUUUUUUAUACAGCCUCAAGGAAUGAUCAAUUUGCACUGCAAGUCCUUUGUAUCAGCCCAUACAAGAGCACUCCCUGUGUUAUUCCAUCGUGGAGUGAAGCGGAAGCGUUCCCUGGGCUGUGGAGCAAGUGGAGAGGAAGUGUCAUCCACAAUAUCUGAACAAUGAACAGAGCACCUCGCCACAAAGUCAAUUAUCCUUUCAAAGCAGCCAUCCUGCGUCCUCAGGACCAGAUGUUGGCAUUGUGAGAUAGUGAUUCUAAUCUAAAGGGAAGGCUGGAUUUUUAUUUUUUUUUAAUGUUGGCUUUCCGGGGAUUAAGUUGGAUAUUUUCAAUAUAGUUGAAAGGAGAGAGUUAUAAACCCCCAAACCCAAAUGCUCUUGUUUGUUUCAAACUCAAUCAUUGCCUUCUGGACAAGGUAUGAAAUGGAAAGCCCACUGUGAAUCUCAGAAUAUUUGAUUUCAGGUAAAUUGCCACAUCGGCUGAUGUUUGAAAAAAUAUACCUGUAUCCAAAAAUAUACAUCCACCACUUUGGAUGUGCCUUGGAGCAUCCUGAUCUAGUGGAAGGUGUCCCUGCCCAUGGCAGGGGAGUUGGUACUAGAUGAGCUUUAAGAUCUCUUCCAACCCAAACCAUUCUAGGAUUCCAUGCUCUUUUCACAUGUUUCAGCCACGAAGCCUAAAUCUAUUUUUUUCUUGAUAAAGACAAAUCAGUAAUUAAAUAAUCAAGUUUGAUAAAUAAAAUUCAGGUGGCUGUGGUCUAGGAAAUGCAGCAUAGAUUCUUUUUUAUCUCCUUCAUGACGUGUUUAAAUCUGGUUCUGAUGUCUAAUGACCAAAACUCUUUCUGACUCCUCUCUGGUCUGUGCAGAUCAAACAAUGGCUCUCAACUUCACUCCUAUCUGGUAGCUGUCCGCAUCCCCAGUGCCAAAACAAACCCUUCUCCUCUGUGUUUCCCUCUUAACAACACUGGUACAGAGGCCAGGGACUGACAACCUGUCUCUUAACCAUCCAACCUUCUGUCCCAGGGGAUCAGAAGAAAAAUUAUUGAGGAAACUUUUCCUGUCGUUCAGUCAUUUAGUCGUAUGGGAAAACAGAUUGCCAAGCUGGCAUUCCAGGAUCCCUAAUUCCCUGUGUAAACAUGGGCAGAAGGGGAAGACAGAAAGAACAUGAGAAAAUUGUUAUCACAGAAUCACAGAAUGGUUUGGUUUGGAAGGGACCUUUAAAGCCCAUCUCACUCCACCCCUUGCCAUGGGCAGGGACACCUUCCACUAGACCAGGUUGAUCCGAGCCCUGUCCAACCUGGCCUUGGACACUUCCAGGUGUUCACUCAAACUAAAGUUUUAUAACUGUAUCAGCCACUGUGCUCAUGCAGCCACGUUCCUUAUUUGUCCAGUUGGACAUACUAAAUUACUUUUAUCGUAAUGCUUGAGAAAUAAUUGUCUUACCUCUCUUAGGACAUGCUGGAGGGUUUAUUCUCCCCUUGCUAUCUAAGUAGUUACACUCUUAAAUCCUCAUGCACUGAGAGCAGAAUAGUCUUUAUAUGCCUAGAAAUUUCUAAGCUAUUCUCCCCAAAUCCUAAUUAACCAUUAUUAAAAAUAAUGUGUUCUUUUUAGAGACUGAGAUAUAGCAACAUGAUAAGAUGCGAUGUGAAAAUCCCAAAUAUCACAUAAUGUGUAAUUCUGCUGCUUUACUUUUGCUCUUUUAUUAGAGAUUUCUAACGUAACGCUGCAUUCUCAUUCAAAGUGGCAGGAUUCAAUAGUAUAUAGUGUGCAAACUGCCAAAACAGAGCCACUGGAUUUAGUUUUCCAAUAAUCAAACAAUUGUACAACAUGCCUGUACAUGUCAGAAACUGGAGAAAGCAAAUUUAUACACAACACUGUAUAUUUUGUGGAUAGCGAUAACCCACCCAAAUCUAAUUUAAUCAAAUAUUUAAAGAGGUAAUAAUUAAUUUUUAAAGAAUUGAAGUGAACCGUAACUAGGAAGAAACGUUAUUGUUUAUUUUUAAUGCCAGAACAGUAUUCCUGAUGCAUUUUUAAUAUUUCAUUAAGGCAGGAACUUUCAUACUAUAUUUUUCAAGUUUUUAUAUCUCAUGGAGACUUUUUUUUCCUGAAGAAAGGUGAAAUAUUGUAGGCAAACUUGAGGCUUGAACUGAUACAUUCUUUGAGGAUCUUUUGUCAUAACUAAUUAAACACAACCAGAAGUAUUUUUAAACAAGCUAAGACACAACACCUGGUUGGGAGCCAGGCGAGUGCUUCUUUUUUUUAGCUUGUGUCUGCGUCCUUCCCAUCAGAUAUUGCUUUCUACCCUCUCUUUUGAGCUAUUAUUCAUAAUUCUUACCUUUUAGGAGAGGUAUUUGCAAGCAAGGUUUUAAAGCCCACCACUCCCUGUGCCUUUCAAAGCCACGGAUUACUCUAUCUUGGUCUUUUGUUUUUUUGAUGAAGUGUCUCUCACAUUUUGAGCCUUUUAUACCCAGGACUGUGGAAGGCUGUUUAUUGCACUCUGGCUCCAGCCCUAGUUAAAGGUGUGAACUACCAAAGUGGAAGGGGGCACAUGCACAUUAACACUGCUGUGGAAAACAUCGCUUGACAGAUGGGUGCAUGUUAAAUGGAUGUUUGAAGAAAGGUGUUUGCAAUAAAAAUCUUGAGUAUGGCAUCAGAGGGAGACCACACACAAUUUUCCAGCUUUAUGUCUGUAAUAUAGAAGGGUCAAGCUUGUUAUAGUGCCCGUGCUUUUUACUGUCUCAGACUUUGCUCUGUUGCUCUCAACAGCUUCCAUAGGAAUGUGAAGUAUCAGGGUUCAAAUGUCACGUAAAUAGGUGUGUUUUAAUUCAUAGACACACACCUUUAUAUUUGAUGUGUCAUAGCAAUAUUUCCAAGAAGAGCAGUGGAACUGGAGAAGGGUCUGGAGCACCAGGGGAGGCCGAGGGAGCGGGAGGGGCUCAGCCUGGAGGAAAGGAGGCUCAGGGAGGACCUUUUCACUCUCUGCAGCUCCCUGACAGGAGGGGGGAGCCACAUGGAGGUCAGGCUCUUCCUCUGAGUAUUAGGCAAUAGGACAAGAGGAAAUGAACUCAAGUUGCAUAAGGGAACAUUUAUAUUGGAUAUUAGGGAAAAUUUCUUCCCAGAAAGGGUUACCUAGAGCAGUGGUGGAGUCACCAUCCCUGUAGAUGUGACAGUGAGGGACAUGGCUUAGUGGUGGGCUUGUUGGACUUGGUGAUCUUGAGGGCCUUUUCAGCCUAACUGAUUCAAUUUAUUGCAUUUAUUUUAAAGACAACUAUUUCCAAGGGCCUACCCAGGAGCAUGAGGAUCUGAGAACCUGUGGUAUAAAUUGUUCAUUCAGUGAAUGGAUAACAAAAUGGUCCAAGGGUAAGCUGAGUUUCUCCAGUUUCACUUAGUGGUUCUUGAUCUGUGGAGGAUAAAGGAGAUGUUCUUAACAUCACCCACUUGCAGAACUGGGAAUUCGAUGUGCAGAUCUUCCCUUGCUUGUGAAAAUCUGCCUCUGAACUAAGAGUUCAAGUGUUGAAAUCCUGGUUGAGAGUAUAUAUCCAGGAUUAGGUAUAUAUGUUCAGUGUAAAUAGUCAUUUGGGAUUUCCUUGACACUCUUCUGGUUGGAAACCUGGUUAUAAAAAAACUUCCUUUUUUUCUUUCCCCUUCUCUCCCCUCUUUUUUUUUUCCCCAAUGUAUUGCUAUAAAACACUUGAUGCCUGAAGACUUUUUUCCCCAUUAUUGAACCUCUCCUUUUGUGCAAAGAAGUUGGUUGGGUGCAUGGUAAGAAAGAGGACCAAGAUGAUCUCUCUUUGUCUGAUACUAAGAUGAUGGAGCUGUUUGCUUUUCCCUGGACACAAAGUAAGACUUUCCAAGCAGAUCACUGUAUUGUCUGUAUUUUUGCUCUUUUCCCAAAAUAUUUUUUGGCUAAACCAUCUCCUCUCUACGAAGGGAAAUUUUUCACCCUCUACCUCAGCUGAAUUGUUUUUUUUUUUCUUUAUGUAUGGAGCUCUUCUUUUUUUAACUGAGUUCAUAACUCCUAUUUCUAUUUUCUUCUUUGCCUUUUCAAAUAUCUAGUCCAGGAAUCCUUCCACCUGAGAUUACCAAGAAAAACCUCCCACAAAUAGCAGCUAUGCACAGUUUACAACUUAUAGAUUUGAGUUUGUUUACGUAAACUUGCAAAUAUGAAAGGCUAUGUGAGAAGACUUCAGGCAGAGAACACUCCCCAAUUAUCAGGAGUACAGUGUUUGCGUUGUAUAUGGUGUCUUAUCUACCCAUGUGUACCCACAAAGGACCUUCAGCUACAUCAGCAACAGGAUAUUUCCAUUUUGAACACAGCACUUAAGCACAAAAUGUGAAGUUCCCUCAUCAGCUGAAGCUUUCACCAGAAGAUCCCAAAUUCCUUAGCUGACAGGAUUGCACCAGAGAUGUUUUUAGAUACAGACCCAUCAGCCCUGAGAGAAGAUGAGUGAGUUUACUAUAUUGAAGAGAUCAACAGUAGAUUUAGUAGAGAAAGUAAAGCCUUUGGGCAGAUAAAAAAAAGUCUAAAAAAUCUAGUUUCCAAGCAGAAAACUUGACUAGUGAUGCAGAGAGCAUGGCAGGAGCUAAAAACUCUUUUUGUGCAGAGACAAUGCCUCAGUGUCAAACCCAACACAUGAAAAUAGGAACACUACAUAUUUUUGAGAGAUUGUUUCAAUAUUUGAUCCUGUUUUCAUUCCCAUAGAACAGAAAUAAAUCAUUUUGUUCUGUAGCCCUGAGGGAGUGCAUUGAGUCCUACUUCUUGCCUGAUGCACAGCCCUACAGGUCAGUGUGUGGCUGAGGGAGGUCAGCGCUGAGCACCCUCCACAAUGGGCAGAGUGCUGAGAUGCUUCCUCUCCACUCCUGUUUGCAGUUUCCUCCCUCACUUUGGGAUAACCUCCCUAAAAAUUGUUUAAAGUCCUCCAUGACAAUCCUCCAGGUGCUCAACUCCACCUGUCUUUACAGACCAUGCAGCUGUUUGUCCCCUCAUCUCGGGUGCUGAACCACACGGUGAGAAGUCCCCACCCGGCACUAUCUCAGGCCCCAAAUGAAUCACUUCCUUCCUUAAGUAGGUCUGACACUAAAAGGUGAGGGUUCACAGAGAAAAUAGAUGUGAUUUCAAACAGCCUGCCACACGUGUGGUGAGAAUGGCUCACCAGCCUCACCAGCCUACCUUGCAGGUUCUCUUUUAUGGUCUGUAGCUGGAGGUGCUGAGGUAUCCUCAGAAAGCCACAGGCAGAAACCACACAGAGAUUAAACAUGUGAUAGGGAGAGGCAGGGGAAACGCUCCUGCUCGUUUUCUUGUGCUUGUUCUGCUGAAGAUACACCCAGCAGGACCUCCUUUAGAAGUUUCUGUCUGUUUUCCAAAGGAAAAAAAAAAAAGCACACCAGCAAACCCAAAGCUUGGAAAAAUACUCAACAAAAUCAAGCAUGACAGAAAAACUAUGCAAGGCCAUUGCUGUUACUCUACUCAGCCUUUUUUCCUACUCUUCAUCUACAGUGGAGAAGUACAAGAGACCCAACAGAGCUUUGUUACCUCUUUGCACAUUGGUGGAAGGCUGUGAUAUUUUCUCAAGGCUUUCCCAAUUAACAUCCCUGUAAAAUGUUGUAACAUUUAGCUCCACAUGUUAAAGAAGGUACUUUCUUCUCUAGCUGCCAUUCUCACCAGCUCUGCCUGCUUCAGUGCAGAUCCGUGUGACUGUGGAGCCAGGAGGUGACUUUUUUUUCAAAGUUCACUCAUUUAGAACAUUUAGACAUUUUAGAGCCAUUUAGAACACUGAGAUAUUUUAGAAUUUUUGAGAUUUCUGAGGCAAUUUGGACUGAAGAUGGCAUUUGUUGGUUUAAAUGAAACACUCUAUUUUAACUCUCAAAAAAUGUAUAACCAGGACUGGAGUGAUCAAAAUUCAUGAGUGAUGAAUGACACGUUGCAAAUUAUUUUGCUUUUGCCACGUCUUUCAUGCAAAUGAUGAACUGCAAGGUUCCCUAAUACUUGACAUGAGAAAGCAUUUAUUAAAGUGUUAAUAGCACACACAGAAAAGCUUUAUUGUAAUACACAAACACCUUAUUAAAGUGUUUAUAACACACAAACAAGCUUUCAGAAUUGGGUUAGAAACCAGAUUUAAGUACUGCAGGUAAAUAACACAAUAAAGAGAUAAAAUAUUAAGUGAAUAUCAAAUGGCAGUGUUUAAGGCCGGGUUGGAUGGGGUUUGGAGCAACCUGAUCUAGUGGAAGGUGUCCCUGCCCAUGGCAGGAAGGGCUGGAACAAGAUGGUCUUUAAAGUCCCUUCCAACCCAAACCAUUCUCUGGUUCUAUGAUUCUCUCAUACAUUUUGAAUAAUAAAAGAAAAAAAAAAUCUGUCAAGCAUCUUAUAGACCAGUCAGAACAUGAAAAACCUUGUUGCCUGUUGUGAUGUGGUGACAUCAGAGAGGUUUGGACACUUCUCCACUGUUAAAAGGUGGUCACCAGGGAUUCGGAGCACGAAUCUCCAUGUGCUCCCACCACUGGCUCAGUGUCCAUCAGAGCUGCUCCUGUGAGGCAAAAAGCAUCUCCCAAACAUCUGAUUAUGACCAGCACCCGGUGGGGGAAUUCCUUGCUGUAAAUCUCAGGCCGUAAGUCCAAUCAAAAACCUGAAAAAAAAAAAAAAAGGAGGAAAAUUGCUAAAGGUCUUUUCUAUAUAUACUUCCCACAGAAGAGUAGUAUCGUAAUUCAAACUGCUGCCUGGUUUAGUGCCUUCCCUGCCAGGAUUUGUGUCAGCUGAGUCUUCAAAGCUGACAACCGACGUCACUGGAGAACCUACAAGAUUCCCACUAGUGAAGUGUCACAAGAGGGAACAUCUAUUUUCACAGCAAACUGAAUUCUGCUCCCUGACUAGCAUAUGAUAUAAAUGAGUGCCUCACUCUGCACAGCCUUAUCUCGUUGUAAGGUCACACCUUUCUUUAAUGAGUCUCCUAAAAGUUUACAGCAAGUUUCCUUAGUGACACAGGUAGGGUUUCACUGAUCUCCAGCCAGGGCUGUCAUUAUAAGAGGAUGGGGUUCCAAUUUCUGAUUAAUGAAAAUUAUAAUUAUGUACAGAUAAUGGAAGAAGAGAGAGAUGUUUCCAUGUUACUUUAAACAAAGAAGAGUUAAGGCCUUAUCUUAACUAUGCAUUGGCACUGCAAUGCGAAAUGGUCAUGCAAAAUUAAUUUUUAAUGUGUUCAAUUUAUAUUAAAAAUUUCUGCAAGUGUGUGAAUUUUUUUUCUAA
This is a long non-coding RNA of Pseudopipra pipra, 8464 nucleotides long. RefSeq lists it as uncharacterized. NCBI's taxonomy places the organism in Eukaryota, Metazoa, Chordata, Aves, Passeriformes, Pipridae. The record is from RefSeq and is a predicted model, not a curated record. The transcript is spliced from 3 exons.